UCAGUCGGCCGGACGGCCGCUCCGGCACCGGCCGAAAGGCCGCCGGGGAGGAAAGUCCGGGCUCCAUCGACAUGCGGUGCCGGAUAACGUCCGGCGGGGGCGACCCCAGGGAAAGUGCCACAGAGAACGAACCGCCCGCCUCCCUCGGGACGGCGGGUAAGGGUGAAAAGGUGCGGUAAGAGCGCACCGCGUCGCCGGCAACGGCAACGGCAUGGCAAACCACACCGGGAGCAAAACCGAAUAGGGACGGCGCAGCGGUUGGUUCGCGCAAGCGAUAACACCGCGAGAUCGUGUCGGAUCUGCCGUCCGGGUAGGUUGCUUGAGGCAAUGUGCGAACAUUGUCCCAGACGAAUGGUCGUCACGCGUCGUCCGUGCGAACGGGCGAUGCCCUACAGAACCCGGCUUACAGGCUGGCUGAUAUU
Molecule: RNase P RNA, 422 nt
Filed under: Hyphomicrobiales bacterium
Lineage: Bacteria; Pseudomonadati; Pseudomonadota; Alphaproteobacteria; Hyphomicrobiales
Description: Rhizobiales bacterium (bioreactor metagenome) RNase P RNA component class A
Rfam family: Bacterial RNase P class A
About the family: Ribonuclease P (RNase P) is a ubiquitous endoribonuclease, found in archaea, bacteria and eukarya as well as chloroplasts and mitochondria. Its best characterised activity is the generation of mature 5'-ends of tRNAs by cleaving the 5'-leader elements of precursor-tRNAs.
Source: RNAcentral